GGACCUGAUAUCAGGCAAGAUUACCCGCUGAACUCAAGCAUAUUAAUAAGCGGAGGAAAAGAAACUAACAAGGAUUCCCCUAGUAACGGCGAGUGAAGCGGGAAGAGCUCAAGCUUAAAAUCUCCGUGCAAGUUUUGUGCGGCGAAUUGUAGUCCUAUAGAAGCGUGGUCAGCAUGGGCACUUGGGGCAAGUUCCUUGGAAGAGGACAGCAUGGAGGGUGAUACUCCCGUUCAUUUCUGAGUUGCUCGUGCGUACGACCCGUUUUCUUUGAGUCGCGUUGUUUGGGAAUGCAGCGCAAAGUAGGUGGUAAAUUCCAUCUAAAGCUAAAUAUUGGUGCGAGACCGAUAGCGAACAAGUACCGUGAGGGAAAGAUGAAAAGAACUUUGAAAAGAGAGUUAAAAAGUACCUGAAACUGCUGAAAGGGAACCGAAUCGUUUCCAGUGUCUAUAAUCCGUGGUAUAUUUCAUUGGCGAGUGUGUGCGUGCGUGUGCUGUGGCAGCGGCUUUUUUGGCUGCGCUCGGCGUGUGUGCUGUGUGUGCUUGCUGGUGCUCUGUGCUGCGGUGGGACGUCAAGGUCAGUUCGUAUGCUGCGGGAAAUGGCUGCCGAGGAGGUAGGGCUUACGCUUGCGUUUGUCUGUUAUAUCUUGGUGGACGAGUAGUCGCGGUUGGGACUGAGGUGCCUACAACGUGCUUUUG
Molecule: non-coding RNA, 695 nt
Rfam family: Eukaryotic large subunit ribosomal RNA